This 468-nucleotide ribosomal RNA is filed under the name uncultured bacterium. RNAcentral's name for it is "SSU rRNA". It matches the Rfam family "Bacterial small subunit ribosomal RNA", at positions 26 to 518 of the family's 1533-position model. The record is from RNAcentral.
AGGACGAACGCUGGCGGCGUGCCUAACACAUGCAAGUCGAACGGGGGUAGCAAUACCCUAGUGGCGAACGGGUGCGUAACACGUGAAGAACUUGUCCAUCGGCGGGGGAUAGCCGGCCCAACGGCCGGGUAAUACCGCGUACGCUUGUCGAGUGGCAUCACUUGACAAGGAAAGCAGCAAUGCACCGAUGGAGAGCUUCGCGGCCUAUCAGCUUGUUGGCGGGGUAAUGGCCCACCAAGGCAACGACGGGUAGCUGGUCUGAGAGGAUGAUCAGCCACAUUGGGACUGAGACACGGCCCAGACUCCUACGGGAGGCAGCAGUGGGGAAUAUUGCGCAAUGGGCGAAAGCCUGACGCAGCGACGCCGCGUGUGGGAUGACGGCCUUCGGGUUGUAACCACUGUCGCGAGGGACGAAAAAUGACGGUACCUACGAAGGAAGCGACCGGCUAACUCUGUGCCAGCAGCCGC